CCGUACGGGGCGCAGCAGGCGCGAGAACUUUACAAUGCGGGAAACCGUGAUAAGGGGACACCGAGUGCCAGCAUCAUAUGCUGGCUGUCCAGAUGUGUAAAAUACAUCUGUUAGCAAGGGCCGGGCAAGACCGGUGCCAGCCGCCGCGGUAACACCGGCGGCCCGAGUGGUGAUCGUGAUUAUUGGGUCUAAAGGGUCCGUAGCCGGUUUGGUCAGUCCUCCGGGAAAUCUGAUGGCUCAACCAUUAGGCUUUCGGGGGAUACUGCCAGGCUUGGAACCGGGAGAGGUAAGAGGUACUACAGGGGUAGGAGUGAAAUCUUGUAAUCCCUGUGAGACCACCUGUGGCGAAGGCGUCUUACCAGAACGGGUUCGACGGUGAGGGACGAAAGCUGGGGGCACGAACCGGAUUAGAUACCCGGGUAGUCCCAGCCGUAAACGAUGCUCGCUAGGUGUCAGGCAUGGCGCGACCGUGUCUGGUGCCGCAGGGAAGCCGUGAAGCGAGCCACCUGGGAAGUACGGCCGCAAGGCUGAAACUUAAAGGAAUUGGCGGGGGAGCACAACAACGGGUGGAGCCUGCGGUUUAAUUGGACUCAACGCCGGACAACUCACCGGGGACGACAGCAAUA
Molecule: ribosomal RNA, 626 nt
Filed under: uncultured archaeon
Lineage: Archaea
Description: bacterial SSU rRNA
Rfam family: Archaeal small subunit ribosomal RNA
Source: RNAcentral